UACCACCCUGGAUGGGCCUGAGCUCUUCUCAUCUUGGAAGUUAAGCAGGGUCAGGCCUGGUUAGUACUUGGAUGGGAGAAAUGAGAUGCAGAAGGAAGCCUGGAG
This 105-nucleotide ribosomal RNA is filed under the name Jaculus jaculus (lesser Egyptian jerboa). Lineage: Eukaryota; Metazoa; Chordata; Mammalia; Rodentia; Dipodidae. The record is from RNAcentral.